RNAcentral lists this ribosomal RNA (451 nucleotides) under uncultured bacterium. RNAcentral describes it as "bacterial SSU rRNA". It matches the Rfam family "Bacterial small subunit ribosomal RNA", at positions 330 to 797 of the family's 1533-position model. The record is from RNAcentral.
UCCAGACUCCUACGGGAGGCAGCAGUGGGGAAUAUUGGGCAAUGGGCGCAAGCCUGACCCAGCAACGCCGCGUGAAGGAAGAAGGCUUUCGGGUUGUAAACUUCUUUUAUUGAGGACGAAACAAAUGACGGUACUCAAUGAAUAAGCCACGGCUAACUACGUGCCAGCAGCCGCGGUAAUACGUAGGUGGCAAGCGUUAUCCGGAUUUACUGGGUGUAAAGGGCGUGUAGGCGGGACUGCAAGUCAGAUGUGAAAUCCAUGGGCUCAACCCAUGGCCUGCAUUUGAAACUGUAGUUCUUGAGUGAUGGAGAGGCAGGCGGAAUUCCGUGUGUAGCGGUGAAAUGCGUAGAUAUACGGAGGAACACCAGUGGCGAAGGCGGCCUGCUGGACAUUAACUGACGCUGAGGCGCGAAAGCGUGGGGAGCAAACAGGAUUAGAUACCCCAGUACCA